This 64-nucleotide transfer RNA is filed under the name Mesorhizobium sp. LSHC422A00. RNAcentral's name for it is "tRNA-Arg". RNAcentral also lists the same sequence under 1 other name. The record is from RNAcentral. Lineage: Bacteria; Pseudomonadati; Pseudomonadota; Alphaproteobacteria; Hyphomicrobiales; Phyllobacteriaceae.
CGUAGCUCCGCCGGAUAGAGCACCGGCCUUCUAAGCCGAUGGUCACAGCUUCGAAUCCUGCCAA